GUGCCAGCCGCCGCGGUAAUACGGAGGGUCCGAGCGUUAAUCGGAAUUACUGGGCGUAAAGCGUGCGCAGGCGGUCUGUUAAGUCAGAUGUGAAAGCCCCGGGCUCAACCUGGGAAUCGCAUUUGAAACUGGCAGACUCGAGUCUUGUAGAGGGGGGUAGAAUUUCAGGUGUAGCGGUGAAAUGCGUAGAGAUCUGAAGGAAUACCAGUGGCGAAGGCGGCCCCCUGGACAAAGACUGACGCUCAUGCACGAAAGCGUGGGGAGCAAACAGGAUUAGAUACCCCUGUAGUCCC
This 293-nucleotide ribosomal RNA is filed under the name uncultured Paraferrimonas sp. Its description in RNAcentral is "partial 16S ribosomal RNA". It matches the Rfam family "Bacterial small subunit ribosomal RNA", at positions 505 to 797 of the family's 1533-position model. Lineage: Bacteria; Pseudomonadati; Pseudomonadota; Gammaproteobacteria; Alteromonadales; Ferrimonadaceae. The record is from RNAcentral.